Molecule: transfer RNA, 16 nt
Filed under: Hydropogon fontinaloides
Lineage: Eukaryota; Viridiplantae; Streptophyta; Bryopsida; Hypnales; Sematophyllaceae
Also listed under: 6 other names
Description: partial tRNA-Ser
Source: RNAcentral
GGAAAGAAAGGGAUUC